Long non-coding RNA from Mytilus californianus (California mussel), 1044 nucleotides. RefSeq lists it as uncharacterized. The transcript has 2 exons. The record is from RefSeq and is a predicted model, not a curated record. NCBI's taxonomy places the organism in Eukaryota, Metazoa, Mollusca, Bivalvia, Mytilida, Mytilidae.
AAUUCUAUUCUACUAUUCUAAUAAUACCGCUACAUUGACAACAACACUUAAGUAAACUGCAUCUUUUAUUGUUGACAUGUUUCUCCGAUUAUACCGGCGUCAUCAGGACAAUACAGUUCAGCUUGUUUAUCUGACAACCCUGCAUACUAUCUGGUAUCCACUUAAGGGAACUCUACCAGCACAAAACAUAGGAGGCGUUGGUUCAGCAGCUCUUUAUUUAUUCUAAAAAUAGUGCAGUGCAAGUGCAUGGUGGACACUUCUGUAAUAAUAAUUCAAUUUUUCUAAUAGAUUGGAUUUGAGUAGGCAUUCAUAUUUUCCCGCAAAACGUUCUUCAGAUAUUCUUCCGCAUGCGUUAAUACAAUUUUUCUGUACGUGUGCAUAGAUAUUAAUGAUUUUUUUACUUAUAUAUAUAUUUCUAACGACAAAACAUUUUCAUAUUAUUAAUUUAUGUUCUAAAAAAAAUAUUUUUAUGAGUAUUCAUUGAAGAAAUGAAUUUAUAACAAGUGAUAAGGAAUGUUAUUUUGCACUCGAUAAUGUCCGCAUAUUUAUACGAUCGGUUACCAGUCAAAAACGAAAGUCAAAUCUCUGUGGCAACAAUACAUCAGAAUGCCCUCACAGUCAUCGCGAUGUAAAAAUAUAUAGCAGUAGUCCACAUACGACUUUAAAAUCUAGUUAAGUUUACAGUGUAAUGUUUGAUUGUUAACAUAGAUCUAGUAUAUAUGAAGUGAAAUAUUCAGUUGAAUAAAUGUAAAAUUAAAGUAAUUAAAUGAAAUAAUUUGUGUUUCAAUUUAACAAUUUUCUUUUGUUUUUUCAUAUUAUCUGCUGUUCAACAUUUCAACCAAUCAGGGUACAUGUCAGUUUUGUGGAAAAGUAGACUAUCAGCCUGGAUGCAUGUCUGGAUAUCAUGAAUGUGAAUGAAUUUGGUGAACCUUUGAGAGAAUUGCCUUUUGUUGAGCAAACUAUUGAUAUCAGCAUUACUAUUAUUUUACUCUAGAAACUUACUAUAUUUACUUACUUUAGAUAUAUAAAUAACUAUACCUCUUA